This 77-nucleotide transfer RNA is filed under the name Polaromonas vacuolata. RNAcentral's name for it is "tRNA-Met". It matches the Rfam family "tRNA". Rfam says of the family: Transfer RNA (tRNA) molecules are approximately 80 nucleotides in length. RNAcentral also lists the same sequence under 1 other name. Lineage: Bacteria; Pseudomonadati; Pseudomonadota; Betaproteobacteria; Burkholderiales; Comamonadaceae. The record is from RNAcentral.
GGGGCGUUAGCUCAGUUGGUUAGAGCAGAGGACUCAUAAUCCUUUGGUCCACGGUUCAAGUCCGUGACGCCCCACCA